This 465-nucleotide ribosomal RNA is filed under the name uncultured bacterium. RNAcentral's name for it is "partial 16S ribosomal RNA". It matches the Rfam family "Bacterial small subunit ribosomal RNA", at positions 28 to 507 of the family's 1533-position model. The record is from RNAcentral.
GAUGAACGCUGGCGGCGUGCUUAACACAUGCGAGUCGAACGGAAAGGCUCCUGCUUGCAGGGGUACUCGAGUGGCGAACGGGUGAGUAACACGUGGGUGAUCUGCCCUGCACUUCGGGAUAAGCCUGGGAAACUGGGUCUAAUACCGGAUAGGACGAUGGUUUGGAUGCCAUUGUGGAAAGUUUUUCGGUGUGGGAUGAGCUCGCGGCCUAUCAGCUUGUUGGUGGGGUAAUGGCCUACCAAGGCGUCGACGGGUAGCCGGCCUGAGAGGGUGUACGGCCACAUUGGGACUGAGAUACAGCCCAGACUCCUACGGGAGGCAGCAGUGGGGAAUAUUGCACAAUGGGCGCAAGCCUGAUGCAGCGACGCCGCGUGGGGGAUGACGGCCUUCGGGUUGUAAACUCCUUUCGCUAGGAACGAAGCGCAAGUGACGGUACCUGGAGAAGAAGCACCGGCUAACUACGUG